This is a long non-coding RNA of Photinus pyralis (common eastern firefly), 377 nucleotides long. RefSeq lists it as uncharacterized. The transcript is spliced from 2 exons. NCBI's taxonomy places the organism in Eukaryota, Metazoa, Arthropoda, Insecta, Coleoptera, Lampyridae. The record is from RefSeq and is a predicted model, not a curated record.
GGCUUGUAGGAUAACAACACUCUAUAAAUACGAAACGGAGCGAUUUGUUUUCAUUAGACAUUCAGUCACAACAUUUACUAACGGUCACAAUGAAAUUCUUCUUGCUCGUUAUUGUUGCAUUGGUUGCAGUUCUCUGCACUGUAAAUGCACAAGUGCCUUGCCAAGGACUUUUUGCAUGCGUAAGUGUCUGCGCUGUUGCCGGAAAUAAUGCGUUUGGAGUGUGUCCUUCGGGCCUGGUCUGUUGCCCUCUGGGAGUAGGAAAGUAGAGUCGAUCAACCGGUCAAGAGUGUGGAUCCACAAACUCUAUAUGCUUUUGUGCACUUCCAUAACACGAUUGCAAAAUGGCUUAUUGCAAAAUACAGUAAUGCUUUUGGAAA